RNAcentral lists this ribosomal RNA (349 nucleotides) under uncultured bacterium. RNAcentral describes it as "bacterial SSU rRNA". It matches the Rfam family "Bacterial small subunit ribosomal RNA", at positions 113 to 496 of the family's 1533-position model. The record is from RNAcentral.
ACAUGUGGGUAUCUUCCCUUUGGUGAGGAAUAACACGAGGAAACUUGUGCUAAUACCUCAUAAGUCUUUACGGAGAAAGCUUUAUGCGCCAAUGGAUGAGCCCGCACUUGAUUAGUUAGUUGGCAGGGUAAUGGCCUACCAAGACUUUGAUCAAUAGCUGAUUUGAGAGGAUGAUCAGCCACAUUGGGACUGAGACACGGCCCAAACUUCUACGGGAGGCAGCAGUAGGGAAUCUUGCACAAUGGAGGAAACUCUGAUGCAGCGAUGCCGCGUGAGUGAAGAAGGCCUUUGGGUUGUAAAGCUCUUUCGUCGGGGAAGAAAAUGACUGUACCCGAAUAAGAAGGUCCGG